UUUCCUCUGCUUGUGAGUCUCCAUUUCUCCACACUUAGUACUUUUCCUAUUCGGGACCGGGCCCUGAGACCCCUUCCUGAGUAUAAGGGGAUCCGGAGCUGAGAAAACUCAAGAUCAAGGAAUCUCAGAGCUGCUCGUUCUCCUGACAGCAGAGGAGUGUGAGAGCCGGAGACAAUCAGUAACUUGUUCCAUCAAGGAAAGGCCGGUGCACUGACCAGAGGCAAGAGGGCUUCCCUGCAUCAAUGCCAAGCCCCCACUCGGGACCUCUAGGUCAGGCUGGAGGCCCUGCAGCUGUGGUGAGUGCCAGAUGGCAUCCCAGUGGCCAGGCUGCAGGGCGCCUGAGGACCCUGUGGUUUGAGACUGAGAAUUCAAGAAUUCUAGAAUCACAGAGGAACGCUAACCAUCUCGGCUGGAGAGAACUCUGUAAUCACGUUUUUGUUUUUUUUAGAGAGGGGCUUCUUCCCACCCCCAGUGUUUAACGUGCAUUUUCUAGUCCUGCGAUGGCCAAGCUUCCAACAUGGCAGGCCUCCAAUUUGUUGAAAUCCUUUUGUUCCACACACAGUGCUCCCGGAGGCCUUGAAGCUUAUUACAGGUCACUUGGUAAAUCGGAAGGCCCCCGCUUUCCUGAUGUUGAACUCGGCUGGUUGAGCGUCAACCUAGGCACAAGGCCACCAAGGAAAAAGGUCUUCCCUGUAGAACAGUGUGUUGUUGCAGGUGGCAGUGGUGUACCAAACUUUCUCCUAUCGCUUCAACAGAGUCCUGCCGGCCUCACUGCAGUCUGUUGGCCAUAGUAGUGUUCAGGAGGAAGACACAGGAUCCUCACUGUGCUGGGAGAGCCCCUCUUUUGCUCAGGAGUCUCUGUGACUCUAGCCCCACAAUCCUGGUGGCAUUCAUCUCUACUCCCAGCAGCGCUGUUUGAAGGGUUUGCUCCUGCUGCUCCACAUCAAGGCUCACUAAGAACUCAGAGGCCCACAGCCAGGACUCCAGAGCAUUGCAAAUGAGUAGGAUACUGAAACCUGAAGACCAGAGGAGACAGAGUUUCUCUGUGCAGGCCUGGCUGUCCUGGAACUCACUCUGUAGACCUGGCACUCUGUAGCUCCACACUCAGAGACCUGCCUGCCUCUGCCUGCUGAAUGCUGGAAUUCAAGUCUUAAAAGCCCUGAUUUAAACUUGCAGGACUGUUGGGAAUGGCAGUAGCAAGGCAGGCUUCUGCUAGUGACAAGGAUGAGGCAAGAUAAGGAAUACCAGGUGACAGUGCAUGAGCGGGGAUGGGGGUUUUAAGUGUCCCGAGGACCAACUUCCACUCACUCUUGAAUCUCCUUGUGCCUGGCACAGCCAGAGACGCUAUUUAAAGUCCUUCAUGUUAUAGGCUACACCACUGCCUUCCAUGUCCCUCUUGACCAUUUCCAUUACAACAUUAUGUAGCCAAGCUACAGGCUGCUGCACACCUUCUCAAUAUCAUCCUUUCUGCCUAGAAUAGCCCCCCAAAGCCCCCAUAUGAACCAGUCAUAGUUUCCAUCUCCUCCAUAAACUCCACUCAGCUUGGGGUAAGAAAAUGUGUGUCUGCUGGCAUGACAGCACAGUCACACCCUAUCAUAGGGGAUCAUGAAAGCAGUAUGGAUAGUGUAUGUGUGUGGAUUCCAUAGAAACAAGUUCUCAACCUGCCGUGCAAGGGGUUUUGCCUUUGUACAAUGUCAGUAUAAGUCGUUCACAUUUCUUCCUUCCAAUUUUAUCAUUUCCUUUUGGACCGUCACAGGAGACCAGGACAAUAAAGAUUUUAGAGUUUAAAAAAUAAAAUUUCAAUCACUGUAAAAUUUAAAUAUUGACAAAAACUGUCAUUGGAAAUCAAUAGCAGAUGGUGUUUUUGUUUUCAAUAUGUACAAACAUAUGUAUGGUACCCUGAUAUGUAGUCAGAGCUAAGAACAUCAUGUUAUCUAACCUGUCAAUUCCAAUCAAAUUGAAAACAGCUCAAAUACUCAAAGGCAGAGAUCUGGGUCACCAACUUCACCUUAUCAAUACCCUGAAUGAAGAACCCUCCAUCCCCAGCCUGCCUCUCUCUGUGUGCCCUUCAGGCAGGGCACUUCCUUAUUGUAGUCUCAGUUUUAUCCAAUACACAGGCUAAUGGACCAUC
This is a long non-coding RNA of Mesocricetus auratus (golden hamster), 2131 nucleotides long. RefSeq lists it as uncharacterized. The record is from RefSeq and is a predicted model, not a curated record. NCBI's taxonomy places the organism in Eukaryota, Metazoa, Chordata, Mammalia, Rodentia, Cricetidae. The transcript has 3 exons.